Long non-coding RNA from Canis lupus familiaris (dog), 938 nucleotides. RefSeq lists it as uncharacterized. Lineage: Eukaryota; Metazoa; Chordata; Mammalia; Carnivora; Canidae. The record is from RefSeq and is a predicted model, not a curated record. The transcript has 3 exons.
AGUCUCCACCGUCAACAAAAUCCAGCUCUUAGUGUCUUUCAGCAUUCACCCUGAGACCAUUCCAAGACUCACCAACUCAGGUGCCAGCUUUCGUGUCUGCAGAGUGAUCGGUUAUGGAGUGCCACCAUCAUUCUUCAUGGGGAAGCUUCUGGCGUCCAAGUUAAUAUUCUGUUUCCCUACAAACUGUAUAUCCUAGAGAUAUAGAUGACAGGCUUGAAUGAAAAUAGGUCAACAGUACUUAAGAUAAGUAAUACUUUAAUCAAUUUUAAGAUAAUUUCUGAUGGCUAGUGCAUAAUGGUAAUAUACUACUCCUUAAAUUUCCCUUUAAAGCAGUGUAGACAUUUAAAAACCCUAUUGUAUAAAUUGCUUUUGAAAGACACAAUUACCCAUUUUAUCUCCCCUGAAUAGAUACAUCUAUUAAAAUAGGCCAUAGUAGAGUUUUUAUAUUUACUAUAAUCAUUGUUGCUCUGCAGAGGCCUUGUGAAUUCAUGCAUCCUGGGGAAUUUAUAGGUGACUUAGAUGGUCUUCAUGGAUCUCGUGCUACAGAAGUAGACUGGUUUCACGACUGACAGUUCUGAAAUUGCCAAUUCACUUCUGCCCAGCAAAUAGUCUAUUUAAAUUCACCAACUUUCCAACCAACACCAACUUUCCUUAAGUUCACAUUGUACCAUCCCAAAAGGAGGAAGAGGCAUGAAACCAAAAAGAAUGUAGUGCUCAGCACAGAAGAAAGGCCACAACCAGGCAUCAGAUGAAGGGAAAAGCUGAAGGCGCCGAGCCCGCUCUCCGCACACACAGAGAUAAUUGGCAUGGCAGUAAUUUUGGACAGCUGAAUGAAAUGAAUAAAUUGUGGCAUGGGAAAACUGAAAAGGACAACAGUUUCCUGGCUCACACGGGAUCAUUACCUUAGGCUGGCAUUUUUCUUGAAGACCAAUUGAUAA